GCCAGGUGUGGUGGCGCAUGCCUGUAAUCCCAGCAGCUAGGGAGGCUGAGGCAGGAGGAUUAGGAGUUCAAAGCCAGCCUCAGCAACAGCAAGGCACUAAAGAAUUCAGUGAGACCCUGUCUCUA
Molecule: small RNA, 125 nt
Filed under: Marmota monax (woodchuck)
Lineage: Eukaryota; Metazoa; Chordata; Mammalia; Rodentia; Sciuridae
Source: RNAcentral